GCCAUCUCUUUCAGUCACAAUCCUAUAAUAAGAAUAUUGUCAGAAGGAAGAAGAUUUAUUAGAAUGAAAAGCAAAAAAUAGAACAAAAUAUAGCACCUAAUAGUUUUUACUUACUUUGACAUAGAUCUAUUGGCCAUAGCCUACAAUAGAGCCUAUCUUUCCAUUAAGAAGAUUAAUGAAAAUUUAUAGAGAGAGGAAAAGGGAUCUCUACAUGGUAUCCAUUGACCUAAAGAAGGCAUAUGAUAGGUUUUAUCAUCCAUAAGAAUGGAGUAAAAUAUGAAAAUGUAACUCAUGGGAGUGCAAUGCGUGUGCUAUGCUUCUGUAGGAUAGAAAUAUGGUCAAGCUAAAUAUAUUGUAUGUGAGUGAAUAUUGGACAUUUAAAGUAUGACUUAAACUCAAUUUCACCCCUGUACUUAUUGAGAAAUUCAAUUUAGUCCAAUUUCAACAUAUUGUCCAAAUUAGCCAAGAAGUUUCAAUUUAAACUGAAUUUAGCCCAAAUCAAGAAAUUAAGAUUCUUGAUUUUUGGGUUUCAAUCAAGAAAUUUAGCCCCCAAAAAUUUAGCAAUUGAAUUACUUAAUUUUUUUUAUUUAAAUCAAGAAAUUUAGCCUAUAAUUUAGCCUAAAUUGAGAUUAAAUUCAGGCUAAAUUGAGAUUAAAUUCAAACUUCUAGGUUAAUUUGGAUAAAUAGUUGAAAAUGUGCUAAAUUGAACUUCUCCAAUAAGUACAGAGGCGAAAUUGAAUAUUUUGCUUAUAAACUACAAGUGUACAACAUAUCCACAAGAUGAAUGUAGCAGAGAUUCAAAUGUCACGAAUGAAUGUUUAGUAACAUGAUAAUGAAUAAGAUAAGGGAUGAAUAUAUCCACUACAGAGUGUAUAUAGCACACAUUACAGAUAAAAUGAGAAAGAGGGUCAAUUAAGAUGGUUUGGUCAU
RNAcentral lists this unclassified non-coding RNA (930 nucleotides) under Hevea brasiliensis (rubber tree). Lineage: Eukaryota; Viridiplantae; Streptophyta; Magnoliopsida; Malpighiales; Euphorbiaceae. The record is from RNAcentral.